GACGAACGCUGGCGGCGUGCUUAACACGUGCAAGUCGAACGAAGAGCGAUGGAAGCUUGCUUCUAUCAAUCUUAGUGGCGAACGGGUGAGUAACGCGUAAUCAACCUGCCCUUCAGAGGGGGACAACAGUUGGAAACGACUGCUAAUACCGCAUACGAUCUAAUCUCGGCAUCGAGGAUAGAUGAAAGGUGGCCUCUACAUGUAAGCUAUCACUGAAGGAGGGGAUUGCGUCUGAUUAGCUAGUUGGAGGGGUAACGGCCCACCAAGGCGAUGAUCAGUAGCCGGUCUGAGAGGAUGAACGGCCACAUUGGGACUGAGACACGGCCCAGACUCCUACGGGAGGCAGCAGUGGGGAAUCUUCCGCAAUGGACGAAAGUCUGACGGAGCAACGCCGCGUGAGUGAUGACGGCCUUCGGGUUGUAAAGCUCUGUUAAUCGGGACGAAAGGCCUUCUUGCGAAUAGGGAGAAGGAUUGACGGUACCGGAAUAGAAAGCCACGGCUAACUACGUG
RNAcentral lists this ribosomal RNA (510 nucleotides) under uncultured bacterium. RNAcentral describes it as "partial 16S ribosomal RNA". It matches the Rfam family "Bacterial small subunit ribosomal RNA", at positions 28 to 507 of the family's 1533-position model. The record is from RNAcentral.